GGGGAUUUGGCUCAGUGGUAGAGCGCUUAGCAAGCGCAAGGCCCUGGGUUCGAUCCCCAGCUCCG
RNAcentral lists this transfer RNA (65 nucleotides) under Rattus norvegicus (Norway rat). It matches the Rfam family "tRNA". Rfam says of the family: Transfer RNA (tRNA) molecules are approximately 80 nucleotides in length. Their secondary structure includes four short double-helical elements and three loops (D, anti-codon, and T loops). The record is from Rfam by way of RNAcentral. Lineage: Eukaryota; Metazoa; Chordata; Mammalia; Rodentia; Muridae.